RNAcentral lists this ribosomal RNA (263 nucleotides) under Mycobacterium sp. MS278e. Its description in RNAcentral is "partial 16S ribosomal RNA". It matches the Rfam family "Bacterial small subunit ribosomal RNA", at positions 214 to 489 of the family's 1533-position model. The record is from RNAcentral. Lineage: Bacteria; Bacillati; Actinomycetota; Actinomycetes; Mycobacteriales; Mycobacteriaceae.
UGCGGUGUGGGAUGGGCCCGCGGCCUAUCAGCUUGUUGGUGGGGUAAUGGCCUACCAAGGCGACGACGGGUAGCCGGCCUGAGAGGGUGACCGGCCACACUGGGACUGAGAUACGGCCCAGACUCCUACGGGAGGCAGCAGUGGGGAAUAUUGCACAAUGGGCGCAAGCCUGAUGCAGCGACGCCGCGUGAGGGAUGACGGCCUUCGGGUUGUAAACCUCUUUCACCAGGGACGAAGCGCAAGUGACGGUACCUGGAGAAGAA